This 1322-nucleotide ribosomal RNA is filed under the name Ralstonia pickettii. RNAcentral's name for it is "bacterial SSU rRNA". It matches the Rfam family "Bacterial small subunit ribosomal RNA", at positions 90 to 1426 of the family's 1533-position model. The record is from RNAcentral. Lineage: Bacteria; Pseudomonadati; Pseudomonadota; Betaproteobacteria; Burkholderiales; Burkholderiaceae.
AGGCCCCAGUUUUUGAUUGAAUUACAUCGGAACGUGCCCUGUAGUGGGGGAUAACUAGUCGAAAGAUUAGCUAAUACCGCAUACGACCUGAGGGUGAAAGUGGGGGACGCAAGGCCUCAUGCUAUAGGAGCGGCCGAUGUCUGAUUAGCUAGUUGGUGAGGUAAAGGCUCACCAAGGCGACGAUCAGUAGCUGGUCUGAGAGGACGAUCAGCCACACUGGGACUGAGACACGGCCAGACUCCUACGGGAGGCAGCAGUGGGGAAUUUUGGACAAUGGGCGAAAGCCUGAUCCAGCAAUGCCGCGUGUGUGAAGAAGGCCUUCGGGUUGUAAAGCACUUUUGUCCGGAAAGAAAUGGCUCUGUUAAUACCUGGGGUCGAUGACGGUACCGGAAGAAUAAGGACCGGCUAACUACGUGCCAGCAGCCGCGGUAAUACGUAGGGUCCAAGCGUUAAUCGGAAUUACUGGGCGUAAAGCGUGCGCAGGCGGUGUGCAAGACCGAUGUGAAAUCCCCGAGCUUAACUUGGGAAUUGCAUUGGUGACUGCACGGCUAGAGUGUGUCAGAGGGGGGUAGAAUUCCACGUGUAGCAGUGAAAUGCGUAGAGAUGUGGAGGAAUCCGAUGGCGAAGGCAGCCCCCUGGGAUAACACUGACGCUCAUGCACGAAAGCGUGGGGAGCAAACAGGAUUAGAUACCCUGGUAGUCCACGCCCUAAACGAUGUCAACUAGUUGUUGGGGAUUCAUUCCUUAGUAACGUAGCUAACGCGUGAAGUUGACCGCCUGGGGAGUACGGUCGCAAGAUUAAAACUCAAAGGAAUUGACGGGGACCCGCACAAGCGGUGGAUGAUGUGGAUUAAUUCGAUGCAACGCGAAAACCUUACCUACUCUUGACAUGCCACUAACGAAGCAGAGAUGCAUUAGGUGCUCGAAAGAGAAAGUGGACACAGGUGCUGCAUGGCUGUCGUCAGCUCGUGUCGUGAGAUGUUGGGUUAAGUCCCGAACGAGCGCAACCCUUGUCUCUAGUUGCUACGAAAGCGCACUCUAGAGAGACUGCCGGUGACAAACCCGAGGAAGGUGGGGAUGACGUCAAGUCCUCAUGGCCCUUAUGGGUAGGGCUUCACACGUCUACAAUGGUGCAUACAGAGGGUUGCCAAGCCGCGAGGUGGAGCUAAUCCCAGAAAAUGCAUCGUAGUCCGGAUCGUAGUCUGCAACUCGACUACGUGAAGCGGAAUCGCUAGUAAUCGCGGAUCAGCUGCCGCGGUGAAUACGUUCCCGGGUCUUGUACACACCGCCCGUCACACCAUGGGAGUGGGCCUUUUUUACCC